UAGGUUUUCAAAUCAAAAAUACUUAAUAAAACACAAAAAUGACUAAAUAAAAGGACGUCGAUGAAGAGGAAGACCAAGGCGGAACUAGUAAAAGUGGAAGUUGUGUUGUAUCAGAACGACGGAACUCGCUGUGAAUGCAUAUUAACAGUCCUCAACCAACAAGACUCCUAUCUUCUUCUUUGUCGUUCCCACACUGCUGAGGAUCGCGACCACAGGUUAUGGUUUUCCACUUGGUACGGCUAUAUGCUGCGUGCACCGCCCUCUGUAUGCUGCCGUCCACCGUCUUCUUCACGAUGUCAGACCACCUCGUAGGCGCCCUUCCUCGCGCACGUUUGCUAUCCAUUUGCCCAACGAUGAUCUGCUUCUCCAGACUGUGCUUCGGAGACCGCAUAAUAUGUCCGAAGAAGCUUAGGGCACGAUUCCGGCAUAUUGAGGAGAGCCGCGUCGUGAUCUUGAGCUCUUUUAAUAUGGACUCAUUCGUACACGUAAAUAGCCUUAAAUUACCAAGUAGAGAAAGUCCACCAUGAGGUGAGCACGAAGUUUUGAAGACAGGAGUGAUUGUAUUAGAUUUCCUCCUGAGCAGUUGCACUACAAAUUUAGUGAUGAAGAGGCAAUACUUGACAGAAACCUUAAGUUGGAUGACAUAAUUAUAAAGAAAAUCAAUAAGAGGAUGAACUCUUUUAAUGUUUAUAAAACAAUAGUAUGGAAGAAUUUUGAUGCAUCUUGGAGCAAUGGCAACAUAUUUGGGAGUUGAGAGUGACAACGAGCAGAUUACAUAACAAUGGGAGGAUAACAAGGGCCUUAACUGAAAAAACUGGUGAAUGUUCCCAAAUAAACCUCACAGAUGUAGAAGAAAGACAAAAUAAAUUUGUUUAUUUAUUUUAUUUCUGUUCCCUACUAAACUAGUAAUAAAACAUACUUGUUACAAAUA
This 931-nucleotide long non-coding RNA is filed under the name Pectinophora gossypiella (pink bollworm). RNAcentral's name for it is "uncharacterized LOC126381694". The record is from RNAcentral. Lineage: Eukaryota; Metazoa; Arthropoda; Insecta; Lepidoptera; Gelechiidae.